Molecule: ribosomal RNA, 253 nt
Filed under: uncultured bacterium
Lineage: Bacteria
Description: partial 16S ribosomal RNA
Rfam family: Bacterial small subunit ribosomal RNA
Source: RNAcentral
UACGAAGGGGGCUAGCGUUGCUCGGAAUCACUGGGCGUAAAGGGUGCGUAGGCGGGUCUUUAAGUCAGAGGGGAAAUCCUGGAGCUCAACUCCAGAACUGCCUUUGAUACUGAGGAUCUUGAGUUCGGGAGAGGUGAGUGGAACUGCGAGUGUAGAGGUGAAAUUCGUAGAUAUUCGCAAGAACACCAGUGGCGAAGGCGGCUCACUGGCCCGAUACUGACGCUGAGGCACGAAAGCGUGGGGAGCAAACAGG